GAUGAACGCUGGCGGCGUGCCUAACACAUGCAAGUCGAGCGAGAAUUUAUCAAUUGAUCCUUCGGGUGAUUUUGAUAAAGGAAAGCGGCGGACGGGUGAGUAACGCGUGAGUAACCUGCCCUUAAGUGGAGGAUAACACAUCGAAAGAUGUGCUAAUACUGCAUAAUGUAUAUUAUUCGCAUGUUUGAUAUACCAAAGAUUUAUUGCUUAAGGAUGGACUCGCGUCUGAUUAGUUAGUUGGUGAGGUAACGGCUCACCAAGACGACGAUCAGUAGCCGGCCUGAGAGGGUGAACGGCCACAUUGGGACUGAGACACGGCCCAAACUCCUACGGGAGGCAGCAGUGGGGAAUAUUGCACAAUGGGGGAAACCCUGAUGCAGCGACGCCGCGUGAGUGAAGAAGUAUUUCGGUAUGUAAAGCUCUAUCAGCAGGGAAGAAAAUGACGGUACCUGACUAAGAAGCCCCGGCUAACUACGUGCCAGCAG
Molecule: ribosomal RNA, 485 nt
Filed under: uncultured bacterium
Lineage: Bacteria
Description: bacterial SSU rRNA
Rfam family: Bacterial small subunit ribosomal RNA
Source: RNAcentral